AGGACCUGGUCAUUCCAGUAAUAAAUUUUCAUAAUGAAGACAAGGGUUUUAUGUGUUUAGCCGACGAUGUUUUUGAUGUGCCAAUUAGGAAGGAUAUUAUUCAUCGUGUUAUGAGAUGGCAGCUAGCAAAACGACAGCAGAGACUUACUGGGGAAAAAGGAGAAUCAGGAUGAUCAUUUUGAGGCAUAUGAAGACCACAGAAACUUAAAUGCCAUUGGGGGAAAAAUCGCCUUGCUAAAGAAAAUUGUUGCAGACGAAAAAUGAUCUAAGGCAGAUCAUUUAAAUCAAUCAGGGCCUCCUAUUCUCCUACAUGUGGAACCCAUUCAACUAAAACUAUUAGUGAAGUUACUGGACUGGUAGAAAAUCGUGAAGGCAGAAGGGAACUGGGCGAGCAUGGCUUGGAACACUGCGUGGUGCUCAUGUUCUACUUGUGUAUAUUGCUUUGAUGUAAAGAGUAUAUCUUUCUACUAAGUAAUUUUGAAUUAUUUUUUAGGACAAAAGUUUCCUAUAAAUGUAAAAUAUCCUACAUAAUCCCCUUCUCUUGAAGUUACAAUCUUUCAAAAUUGCCAAGUUCACAAUUACCUUGGUGGAACUUGUUCUGGAUCUAA
Long non-coding RNA from Nicotiana attenuata, 608 nucleotides. RefSeq lists it as uncharacterized. The record is from RefSeq and is a predicted model, not a curated record. Lineage: Eukaryota; Viridiplantae; Streptophyta; Magnoliopsida; Solanales; Solanaceae. The transcript is spliced from 3 exons.